This is a small nucleolar RNA of Lathyrus oleraceus (garden pea), 107 nucleotides long. NCBI's taxonomy places the organism in Eukaryota, Viridiplantae, Streptophyta, Magnoliopsida, Fabales, Fabaceae. The record is from RefSeq and is a predicted model, not a curated record.
AAGCCCAUGAAAAGGGCACAGUCUUAAUAAAUCCUUAUAACGCUCUUACGCGUCAAACAAUGAUUCCCCCUCUUCUUGCCUAAAAUUUUAAAUCUCAUUCCUAACUU